Molecule: ribosomal RNA, 440 nt
Filed under: uncultured bacterium
Lineage: Bacteria
Description: bacterial SSU rRNA
Rfam family: Bacterial small subunit ribosomal RNA
Source: RNAcentral
CCUACGGGGGGCAGCAGUGGGGGAUAUUGCACAAUGGAGGAAACUCUGAUGCAGCAACGCCGCGUGAGGGAAGAAGGUCUUCGGAUUGUAAACCUCUGUCCUCAGGGACGAUAAUGACGGUACCUGAGGAGGAAGCUCCGGCUAACUACGUGCCAGCAGCCGCGGUAAUACGUAGGGAGCAAGCGUUGUCCGGUUUUACUGGUUGUAAAGGGUGCGUAGGCGGCCCUGCAAGUCAGGUGUGACAACUAUGGGCUUAACUCAUAGAUUGCACUUGAAACUGUGGGGCUUGAGUGAAGGAGAGGCAGGCGGAAUUGCCGGUUUAGCGGGUUAAUGCGUAGAUAACGGGAAGAACACCAGUGGCGAAGGCGGCUUGCUGGGCUUUAACUGACGCUGGGGCACUAAAGCGUGGGUAGAGAACAGGAUUAGAUACCCGAGUAGUC